Molecule: long non-coding RNA, 2590 nt
Filed under: Capsicum annuum
Lineage: Eukaryota; Viridiplantae; Streptophyta; Magnoliopsida; Solanales; Solanaceae
Description: long non-coding RNA (CANN_LNC012351)
Source: RNAcentral
CAAGUCCCAAAUCAGCCAAAUUCUGCCAUUACUUGCAGCAUUAUAAUUAUUGAUAGCACCCCAGCCAGACAUCAUGCUCUUCAGUACUCUAGCUGCGUUAUUUUGUUUGACCCUAGUCUCUAUCAAACCAGCAAGAGUGAUAUGUUUAUUUUGGAUGAUCUUUCUAAUCUUUUUCUGCUUAUAGCGCUUAUUUAUACCUCUAACAUUCCAACAUAACCAAUUUAUAUAGUAGGUGGGUUACCGUUAUCAGGAGGCACUUCUUUCCCCUUAUAUACAGGUCUUUGCGCUCCCCUAUCCUUACUCUUCAUAGAAGCCUCAUUUAGAGUAGGAAAAUCUGCAUAAUCCAAGUGUGUAUCAUUGUCUACUCUUUCCAGAUUUGUAUUUGGUGUAGUGAGUUCUUGCGUCCUCACUAGGCAUUUUUGAGUGCCAAUACAUAUUUCCCCAGGGGUUGAAUUCUGGACAGGAGCUGUGAAAUCCUCCUACUUUUAUUGUUCUUAUUGUCCUGGGUAAUCUUCUGAUGGGUCCCUUAUACACCCAAGCUUGCACAAGCUUGGGACCUGGUACACCUUCCUUUUUCUUUGGCAUCUCCUGUUGAACUGGUGCAGGAAGGCAUUUGUGCCCAAUUACUUGGCAUUUCUCACAAUAACGUAGCCUCUAAUUGUACACUACAGGUUGAGAAAGCACCCUACCAUUAGGAUCAGCUAUUGUUAUAGUAUCAUGUAUCUCUUUAGUUACAUUCACCUCUAUAAGCAAACAAGCAUAGAAAAUCCGUAUUUUCUUUGCAGUACAUUCAUCUGCGUAGAUAGGUUUGCCAAUUAUACUAGAAAUACGACUGAGGGAAUUGGCACCCCAGUAGUUCAUGGGAAGAUUUGGAAGCUUAACCCACAAAGGGAUCUCAGUUGGGAAUUCCCCAUUAAAAUAAAAAUCUGGUGUCCAAGGUUUCAAAAUUAGAGGCCAGUAGUUGAGCAUAUAAGGUCCCGCACAGAGAAUAGCUCGCAUAUCUUUAAGGGAUUAAAAUCAUACAAUGAAGUAACCCUCUUCAUGGAGAUAAAUGGUAGGCUCAGCUAUAGAAUUCCAUUGUUGUUCAAUGAAUCGCUUCAUUACAUUAAACCCAGGACAUUCUCCCAAUGUAUACACAAUUAGAGCUCAUCGCCAUUUCUCUAUUUCCUUAUCAAUCUCGUCCUUCUCCAACUGAACCACAACCUCUCCUUUAACGACUUGUGGAGGUAUAUAUGAUAGUGCUAGCCAAUUCUCUGUUGAUCUACUCUUUUUAAACAAAUUAACCCAAGGUUCUGCUGGACUUGCUCCACACUUAUCCUCUUCCUUCACCUCAUUCUCAUGAUGAAGUAUAGAUACAGUAGGGUUAGGGUUGUCUACCGGGGUUAUGAAUCCAGCACUACUCAAUAAACUCUUACCCUGUGAUUGGGUGCUAGAUGACGAUCCAAUUUCAUUUACCCCACGAAGAAUUGAUCCUAUUUGGGUAAGGUUCUGCUUAUCUCCUUCGUGUGUUUCCUUGUCCUCAGAAGCCGGAGGUACUUCCAAGGGGAUUUUCCGAGGUCUUCCACGCCCUCAUUCAACGUCACCUCAUCCUUGUCCACGCCCUCGACCUCUCCCCCUCCCUCUAGCCAUGGUAGUCUCAUCAACAGCAGUUAGCUACCGUACGCUCUCUAGCCAUGGUUUCCUUGUAAGAAUUCUUUCCUAAAAUUUAGGACAUUAGGAACUUCAAAGUUUCUUUUGUUUUGCCGUAUAGUUGAGUGCUAAUUUGUUGCAGUGUCGUUUCAAGUUUUCAAAAUUUAUUAGGAGUUUUUGUGUUAAAUUUUCUAACAUUAGGAAUUCAAAAUAAUAUAACUUUUUAAUAUAUUAAACAUAUUUGCUUUGUCUUUUACCAUUUUAUAUAAUUUUAUAUAUGACUCAUGAAUAUAUCUUAAAAUGAAUAUGAAAUAAAAAUAAAUAUUUCAAACACUAUUGUUAUGAUUUAUAUAAAUACAAUGAAAUCAACAUGAAAUAUUAAUAGAAUUUUUUAAUGUUUUGAGAAUAAUAUACAUUAUGAUACAAGUCAUAUAUAUUAGAUAAAACAAUAGUAGUAAGUUUUAAUAUUAAUUGUACCUUAAUUUUGAACUUGUUUUAAAAUAGUUGAUGUUUAUUGUGGGAAGAAAUUGAGCUAGAUACAUGUGGCACUGGUAUGAAGGCUAACAGAAGGUCUUAUUGCAGUAAGGAACGUUGAGCCUCGAAGGGACUCCCCUUGAAAUGGCAAUAAUACAGGCGUCGUUUCGUGCAAGAUAAGGAUCAGGAAAUCGUCACCACAAUGACAUGGCUACAACGAUAUAUAUAUAGGGGACCUGUCAGAUUGCUUAGGUAUGCGAAUAAGCCUAUACGAAGCUGAGCAGUGAAAGAAUAUUAGUUGUCUUCUCCUCCAAUAGAUGAGACAUAUGGCGCAAGGACAUAGGCAUUAGUAUUUUAGGGCUCUAGUGACAUAUCCUAAUUGUCAGCGGCUAACAUUGUAGCCUAUAAAUAGUCGACCUUCCUCAUUUGUAAAGGAUCCCCCUUCUAUUAACUCAAUCAAUAUAAUAGUUUUCUUGGUCUUCAGUGU